GGUAAAUUAACAAAUUUCAACUCCACUAUUACUUAUCAUUGAUCAUUUUAUUUCUCUCUGUACCUGCUACAAUUAGGUGUCUGUAUAGAUUUCUUCUUUUAUGUUUUAGCAACCUACAAAACAAGUCUUGGAGAGACAAUUAAAUCUCAAAUUUAGAAACUAACUCAAUUGAAAUCUUUAUUAUUUUAAAAUUCUAUCAUCCAUUUAAUAUAAAUAAUAUUUCAAUUUAAUUUUGCCCCUCCUCUCUCUUUCUCAACACUAUUUCAGUGCAAUGUAAAUAAAAUGAUAACAUAAAAAAAUAAUUUCUUUAAUGAAAAGGUAACUUCAUACAUAGAGAGUGCUAUUUUUAGGAGAAGAAUAAAUUAACAAUGGUGUAUUUUUAUUUUUUGGGUUAGAUGCAUAAAAAAUCCUUCUCUUAAAUGGACAGUACAAUUUCUACACUUAACUUAUAUUUUUAGUUUUUUUUAGCCAUGAUUAAUAAGUAAUGAAUUAUUUAUAAUUUUAAUUCCUUCUACGCUAAUAUAAUUUCUUGUUUAAUUGAUCUGGAAGGCUUCCUUGAUCUCAAGAAGUUGGAAUACUUGGAUUUGAGUUACAAUACUCUCAAUAAUAGUAUCUUCCAAGCCAUCGGAACGAUGACCUCUCUUAAAACAUUGAAAUUGGAGGGUUGCAGUCUAAAUGGCCAAAUACCUACAACACAAGGUAAGGUUAGGUUGAUGACUCUUAUUCUCUCUCUCUCUCUAGGUUAUGUAUUUUCUAUUAGACACUCAAAGUUUUAUUUUUUUUCUAAACUAUAAUGUGAUUAAGCUUAUGUAACUUAAAUCAUCUUGAAGAGUUAUGUAUGUAUAUAAUUUCUCUUUUAUGUUUUCGCAACCUACUAAACAAGUCUUGGAGAGACAAUUAAAUCUCAAAUUUAGAAAUUAACUCAAUUGAAAUCUUUAUAUUUUAAAAUUCUACCAUCCAUUUAAUAUGAAAAAUAUUUCACUUUAAUUUUGCCCCUCUCUCAACACCAUUUCAGUGUAAUGUAAUUAAAAUGAUAACAUAAAUAACAAUAUAAAUUCAUAUAUAGAGUGUGCUAUUUUUAGGAGAAGAAUAAAUUAACAAUGGUGUAUUUCUUUUUUUGGGUCAGACAUAUAAAAAAAACCUUCUAUUAAUUGGACAAUAUAAUUUCUACACUUACCUGAUGUUUUUUAUUUUUUUAGCCAUGAUUAAUAAGUAAUGAAUUAUUUCUAAUUUUAAUUCCUUCUACGCUAAUAUAAUUUCUUGUUUAAUUGAUCGUGACAGACUUUCUUGAUCUCAAGAACUUGGAAUACUUGGAUUUGAGUAACACUGCUCUCAAUAAUAGCAUCUUCCAAGCCAUCGGAACGAUGACCUCUCUUAAAACAUUGAUAUUGGAGGGUUGCAGUCUAAAUGGCCAAAUACCUACAACCCAAGGUAAGGUUGAUCACUCUUAUUCUCUCUCUAGGUUAUAUAUUUUCCAUUAGACACUCAAAGUUUUAAUUUUCUCUAAAUUAUAAUGUGACCAGGCCUAUGUGACUUAAAUCAUCUCCAGGAGCUAGAUAUGGGUGACAAUGAUCUUAGUGGUGUCUUGCCUUCAUGUUUGCCAAAUUUGACUUCCCUUCAACAACUCUCUCUCUCUUACAAUCACUUGAAGAUUCCUAUGUCAUUGAGCCCAUUAUACAACCUUUCAAAACUCAAGUCUUUUUAUGGUUCAGGUA
Molecule: long non-coding RNA, 1715 nt
Filed under: Populus trichocarpa (black cottonwood)
Lineage: Eukaryota; Viridiplantae; Streptophyta; Magnoliopsida; Malpighiales; Salicaceae
Description: long non-coding RNA (PTRI_LNC004107)
Source: RNAcentral